Molecule: ribosomal RNA, 1372 nt
Filed under: uncultured bacterium
Lineage: Bacteria
Description: bacterial SSU rRNA
Rfam family: Bacterial small subunit ribosomal RNA
Source: RNAcentral
GAUGAACGCUGGCGGCGUGCCUAAUACAUGCAAGUCGAGCGAACGGACGAGAAGCUUGCUUUUCUGAUGUUAGCGGCGGGCGGGUGAGUAACACGUGGAUAACCUACCUAUAAGACUGGGAUAACUUCGGGAAACCGGAGCUAAUACCGGAUAAUAUUUUGAACCGCAUGGUUCAAAAGUGAAAGACGGUCUUGCUGUCACUUAUAGAUGGAUCCGCGCUGCACUAGCUAGUUGGUAAGGUAACGGCUUACCAAGGCAACGAUGCAUAGCCGACCUGAGAGGGUGAUCGGCCACACUGGAACUGAGACACGGUCCAGACUCCUACGGGAGGCAGCAGUAGGGAAUCUUCCGCAAUGGGCGAAAGCCUGACGGAGCAACGCCGCGUGAGUGAUGAAGGUCUUCGGAUCGUAAAACUCUGUUAUUAGGGAAGAACAUAUGUGUAAGUAACUGUGCACAUCUUGACGGUACCUAAUCAGAAAGCCACGGCUAACUACGUGCCAGCAGCCGCGGUAAUACGUAGGUGGCAAGCGUUAUCCGGAAUUAUUGGGCGUAAAGCGCGCGUAGGCGGUUUUUUAAGUCUGAUGUGAAAGCCCACGGCUCAACCGUGGAGGGUCAUUGGAAACUGGAAAACUUGAGUGCAGAAGAGGAAAGUGGAAUUCCAUGUGUAGCGGUGAAAUGCGCAGAGAUAUGGAGGAACACCAGUGGCGAAGGCGACUUUCUGGUCUGUAACUGACGCUGAUGUGCGAAAGCGUGGGGAUCAAACAGGAUUAGAUACCCUGGUAGUCCACGCCGUAAACGAUGAGUGCUAAGUGUUAGGGGGUUUCCGCCCCUUAGUGCUGCAGCUAACGCAUUAAGCACUCCGCCUGGGGAGUACGACCGCAAGGUUGAAACUCAAAGGAAUUGACGGGGACCCGCACAAGCGGUGGAGCAUGUGGUUUAAUUCGAAGCAACGCGAAGAACCUUACCAAAUCUUGACAUCCUUUGACAACUCUAGAGAUAGAGCCUUCCCCUUCGGGGGACAAAGUGACAGGUGGUGCAUGGUUGUCGUCAGCUCGUGUCGUGAGAUGUUGGGUUAAGUCCCGCAACGAGCGCAACCCUUAAGCUUAGUUGCCAUCAUUAAGUUGGGCACCCUAAGUUGACUGCCGGUGACAAACCGGAGGAAGGUGGGGAUGACGUCAAAUCAUCAUGCCCCUUAUGAUUUGGGCCACACACGUGCUACAAUGGACAAUACAAAGGGCAGCGAAACCGCGAGGUCAAGCAAAUCCCAUAAAGUUGUUCUCAGUUCGGAUUGUAGUCUGCAACUCGACUACAUGAAGCUGGAAUCGCUAGUAAUCGUAGAUCAGCAUGCUACGGUGAAUACGUUCCCGGGUCU